ACGCUGGCGGCAGGCCUAACACAUGCAAGUCGAACGGUAACAGGAAGCAGCUUGCUGCUUCGCUGACGAGUGGCGGACGGGUGAGUAAUGUCUGGGAAACUGCCUGAUGGAGGGGGAUAACUACUGGAAACGGUGGCUAAUACCGCAUAACGUCGCAAGACCAAAGAGGGGGACCUUCGGGCCUCUUGCCAUCAGAUGUGCCCAGAUGGGAUUAGCUAGUUGGUGAGGUAACGGCUCACCAAGGCGACGAUCCCUAGCUGGUCUGAGAGGAUGACCAGCCACACUGGAACUGAGACACGGUCCAGACUCCUACGGGAGGCAGCAGUGGGGAAUAUUGCACAAUGGGCGCAAGCCUGAUGCAGCCAUGCCGCGUGUAUGAAGAAGGCCUUCGGGUUGUAAAGUACUUUCAGCGGGGAGGAAGGUGUUGUGGUUAAUAACCACAGCAAUUGACGUUACCCGCAGAAGAAGCACCGGCUAACUCCGUGCCAGCAGCCGCGGUAAUACGGAGGGUGCAAGCGUUAAUCGGAAUUACUGGGCGUAAAGCGCACGCAGGCGGUCUGUCAAGUCGGAUGUGAAAUCCCCGGGCUCAACCUGGGAACUGCAUUCGAAACUGGCAGGCUUGAGUCUUGUAGAGGGGGGUAGAAUUCCAGGUGUAGCGGUGAAAUGCGUAGAGAUCUGGAGGAAUACCGGUGGCGAAGGCGGCCCCCUGGACAAAGACUGACGCUCAGGUGCGAAAGCGUGGGGAGCAAACAGGAUUAGAUACCCUGGUAGUCCACGCCGUAAACGAUGUCUACUUGGAGGUUGUGCCCUUGAGGCGUGGCUUCCGGAGCUAACGCGUUAAGUAGACCGCCUGGGGAGUACGGCCGCAAGGUUAAAACUCAAAUGAAUUGACGGGGGCCCGCACAAGCGGUGGAGCAUGUGGUUUAAUUCGAUGCAACGCGAAGAACCUUACCUGGUCUUGACAUCCACAGAACUUUCCAGAGAUGGAUUGGUGCCUUCGGGAACUGUGAGACAGGUGCUGCAUGGCUGUCGUCAGCUCGUGUUGUGAAAUGUUGGGUUAAGUCCCGCAACGAGCGCAACCCUUAUCCUUUGUUGCCAGCGAUUAGGUCGGGAACUCAAAGGAGACUGCCAGUGAUAAACUGGAGGAAGGUGGGGAUGACGUCAAGUCAUCAUGGCCCUUACGACCAGGGCUACACACGUGCUACAAUGGCGCAUACAAAGAGAAGCGACCUCGCGAGAGCAAGCGGACCUCAUAAAGUGCGUCGUAGUCCGGAUUGGAGUCUGCAACUCGACUCCAUGAAGUCGGAAUCGCUAGUAAUCGUGGAUCAGAAUGCCACGGUGAAUACGUUCCCGGGCCUUGUACACACCGCCCGUCACACCAUGGGAGUGGGUUGCAAAAGAAGUAGGUAGCUUAACCUUCGGGAGGGCGCUUACCACUUUGUGAUUCAUGACUGGGGUGAAGUCGUAACAAGGUAACCGUAGGGGAACCUGCGGUUGGAUCACCUCCUUACCUUAAAGAA
RNAcentral lists this ribosomal RNA (1520 nucleotides) under Salmonella enterica. Its description in RNAcentral is "bacterial SSU rRNA". It matches the Rfam family "Bacterial small subunit ribosomal RNA". Lineage: Bacteria; Pseudomonadati; Pseudomonadota; Gammaproteobacteria; Enterobacterales; Enterobacteriaceae. The record is from RNAcentral.